This 69-nucleotide transfer RNA is filed under the name Ictidomys tridecemlineatus (thirteen-lined ground squirrel). RNAcentral's name for it is "Spermophilus tridecemlineatus (thirteen-lined ground squirrel) tRNA". It matches the Rfam family "tRNA". From Rfam's summary of the family: Transfer RNA (tRNA) molecules are approximately 80 nucleotides in length. Their secondary structure includes four short double-helical elements and three loops (D, anti-codon, and T loops). The record is from Rfam by way of RNAcentral. RNAcentral also lists the same sequence under 1 other name. Lineage: Eukaryota; Metazoa; Chordata; Mammalia; Rodentia; Sciuridae.
GGGGUUGUGGCUCAGUGGUAGAGUGCUCGCCUAGCAUGUGUGAGCCCCUGGGUUCGAUCCUCAGCACCA